This is a long non-coding RNA of Daphnia pulicaria, 945 nucleotides long. RefSeq lists it as uncharacterized. The record is from RefSeq and is a predicted model, not a curated record. The transcript has 7 exons. NCBI's taxonomy places the organism in Eukaryota, Metazoa, Arthropoda, Branchiopoda, Diplostraca, Daphniidae.
CGGAUUGUUGAGUGAGUGGUUGUCAAAAGUUUCCCAAUAUUUUCAUUUUUUCCAUUAAAAUUACCGAUGAAUUCAGAAGAAGGAACGCGAAAGGCAACUAUCCUACAGGCUACAAGUUAGCCUACCAUCAAUUAUUUUAUUAAAAAUCGUCGUUCUGCUGAAUGCUUUAUCCUGUUAAAACAGGUCACUAACCCCAGCCAUGACACUUCUGUUGUUUUUUCCGAACAUGUUUUCUAUAAAUAAGGCAUUGACAGACAAGCUACUAGAUAAUAUCGCCAGUGUCGCCCUUGUUGUUCUCACAUCGACUAGUAGCGUUCAGUCACUUUCCAUCCAUUAGAUCCUCAUGCUGUCAAAAGCCUAAAACUCAUGUUUGAAGCACACAUAUAGUGGUAUACAAAUGUGUGGAGAUAAGGUAUUUUCCCAUUACUCCUACCACAAAAACUACACUACGUCAAAUGCCUUACUACAUCAUCACCCAUAUGAUAAAGCAUCAGGAAAUUUAUCCCACCCGAGGAGUAAUGCAGUUGGUUGCUGUAGUUCCAUUAUCACAGUUUUUCAUCAUGAACAUUUCAGUGUGCUUCUUAGAAAAGAGCAUGCAAGAUCCCACAGACAUCCUUGAGCUGGAUUUUGUCCAUAACAGAAGAGGGACUUAACCAACAUUCUGUUCCAUCCUUAUCUUCAAGACUCAUCCAGCUUCACUGCUUCAGUGCUUCUUAUGCUGCUAGUCCUGCUACACAACUUAUCUUGCUUCACUGGCGAGUUGGAUCACUUCCUUUGCUGUGACACACCUGCAGUCACUCACCACGGGAUUAUGGCCAGGUAAUGCAGAGAAGAUGUCGAGAAGAUGAACACCAAAACUUCGCCGGUAUCUCCAAAAUGUCAGCGCGCCAGCGCGGACCAUCAUUUGUUGUUGGUAAUAUGUUUUCGUUUGUGUUAGUUAACCCG